GUCUGAGAAGUGUCUAAGGGGCAGGGCUAUGAGAAGUGUCUAAGGGGCAGGGCUAUGAGAAGUGUCUAAGGGGCAGGGCUAUGAGAAGUGUCUAAGGGGCAGGGCUAUGAGAAGUGUCUAAGGGGCAGGGCUAUGAGAAGUGUCUAAGGGGCAGGGCUAUGAGAAGUGUCUAAGGGGCAGGGCUAUGAGAAGUGUCUAAGGGGCAGGGCUAUGAGAAGUGUCUAAGGGGCAGGGCUAUGAGAAGUGUCUAAGGGGCAGGGCUAUGGGAAGUGUCUAAGG
Long non-coding RNA from Oncorhynchus tshawytscha (Chinook salmon), 279 nucleotides. RefSeq lists it as uncharacterized. The transcript has 4 exons. The record is from RefSeq and is a predicted model, not a curated record. Lineage: Eukaryota; Metazoa; Chordata; Actinopteri; Salmoniformes; Salmonidae.